CUUCUCACUAUAUACUUUGUUUGGUUAUUUAAAGGUUGUAACUUCAUAAACUGCGAAUGGUUCAGGAACAGAUGAUCAACGUCGUCAAAUCUUAGCCAUUAUCAUAGAAAAAAUGAUUUGCUUCUUUUUUUUCUUUUUUCUUUUGUUUUAUCAAAUGAUAUGAAUAACUAAUUUUUAUAGUUCGUUAAUAUCGAAUAAAUUUGUUCGUUUUAUGUGGAUGC
RNAcentral lists this long non-coding RNA (221 nucleotides) under Mytilus galloprovincialis (Mediterranean mussel). The record is from RNAcentral. Lineage: Eukaryota; Metazoa; Mollusca; Bivalvia; Mytilida; Mytilidae.